AUUGAACGCUGGCGGCAGGCCUAACACAUGCAAGUCGAACGAGUGGCGGACGGGUGAGAAAUGUCUGGGAAACUGCCCGAUGGAGGGGGAUAACUCCUGGAAACGGUAGCUAAUAUCGCAUACCAUCGGAUGUGCCCAGAUGGGAUUAGCUUGUAGGUGUGGUAACGGCUCACCUAGGCGACGAUCCCUAGCUGGUAUGUGAGGAUGACCAGCCACCCUGGAACGGAGACACGGUCCAGACUCCUACGGGAGGCAGCAGUGGGGAAUAUUGGACAAUGGGCGAAAUCCUGAUCCAGCCAUGCCGCGUGUAUGAAGAAGGUCUUCGGAUUGUAAAGCACUUUAAGUUGGGAGGCGUUACCAGCAGAAUAAGCACCGGCUAACUUCGUGCCAGCAGCCGCGGUAAUUC
RNAcentral lists this ribosomal RNA (406 nucleotides) under uncultured bacterium. RNAcentral describes it as "partial 16S ribosomal RNA". It matches the Rfam family "Bacterial small subunit ribosomal RNA", at positions 30 to 526 of the family's 1533-position model. The record is from RNAcentral.